This 73-nucleotide transfer RNA is filed under the name Podarcis lilfordi (Lilford's wall lizard). RNAcentral describes it as "tRNA.Lys". The stretch from base 8 to 65 matches the Rfam family "tRNA", at positions 8 to 63 of the family's 71-position model. Rfam says of the family: Transfer RNA (tRNA) molecules are approximately 80 nucleotides in length. Their secondary structure includes four short double-helical elements and three loops (D, anti-codon, and T loops). Further hydrogen bonds mediate the characteristic L-shaped molecular structure. tRNAs have two regions of fundamental functional importance: the anti-codon, which is responsible for specific mRNA codon recognition, and the 3' end, to which the tRNAs corresponding amino acid is attached (by aminoacyl-tRNA synthetases). tRNAs cope with the degeneracy of the genetic code in two manners: having more than one tRNA (with a specific anti-codon) for a particular amino acid; and 'wobble' base-pairing, i.e. permitting non-standard base-pairing at the 3rd anti-codon position. The record is from RNAcentral. Lineage: Eukaryota; Metazoa; Chordata; Lepidosauria; Squamata; Lacertidae.
ACGUGGAUAGCUCAGUCGGCAGAGCAUGAAACUCUUAAUCUCAGGGUUAUGGGUUUGAGCCCCACAUUGGGCG